CCUACGGGAGGCAGCAGUGGGGAAUAUUGCGCAAUGGGGGAAACCCUGACGCAGCGACGCCGCGUGAGCGAAGAAGGCCUUAGGGUCGUAAAGCUCUGUUGUAAGGGACGAAUGUUUAUCUGGCGAACAGUCAGAUAAAGUGACGGUACCUUACCAGCAAGCCCCGGCUAACUACGUGCCAGCAGCCGCGGUAAGACGUAGGGGGCGAGCGUUGUCCGGAAUUACUGGGCGUAAAGAGCACGUAGGCGGGUAAUUAAGUCAGAUGUGAAAGACCGGGGCCCAACCUCGGGGUUGCAUCUGAAACUGGUUAUCUUGAGGGCAGGAGAGGAAAGUGGAAUUCCUGGUGUAGCGGUGAAAUGCGUAGAAAUCAGGAGGAAUACCAGUGGCGAAGGCGGCUUUCUGGACUGACCCUGACGCUGAGGUGCGAAAGCGUGGGUAGCAAACAGGAUUAGAUACCCUAGUAGUC
Molecule: ribosomal RNA, 466 nt
Filed under: uncultured bacterium
Lineage: Bacteria
Description: bacterial SSU rRNA
Rfam family: Bacterial small subunit ribosomal RNA
Source: RNAcentral